GAACAAUUACAGAAUGAUUGGAACUUUCCAGAAUGAUCCUAAUAAAAGAUGCGUUAUAUAAACUUCUACAUUUUACUAGAAACUUCUGUUGUAACUUUCUAGGAUGUUCCAUUAUAGACUGUUCUAGAAUCUUCCAUGACAACUAUAUAUAUACAGACACUAAAGUUAAACACUCACUCUUGGACUUAGACUUAGACAUCGAUAGACAUUAGUAUUUACAGC
This 222-nucleotide long non-coding RNA is filed under the name Mytilus galloprovincialis (Mediterranean mussel). Lineage: Eukaryota; Metazoa; Mollusca; Bivalvia; Mytilida; Mytilidae. The record is from RNAcentral.